UCUGGUCGAACAAACAAGGGGGGAAGCAAGAGGAUGAACCCUAGUUCACCAAAUUCACAAGAAUUAAGUGAAAUCUUGAGAAAAUUAAAGGUGUAAACAACGAAUUCAAGGCUCCUACAUCUGUCCUUCGAAUUGGCAUAAAGGAAGAAGGUUCAAGCUCUAAGAAGUCGGAAGGCUCUCAUGAUCGAGGAUGGAAAUCUCGUCAGUUGAUUCAAGUAUGGAUGGCAAACAGGGUAGGAGGAAACGAUGAGGCAAGCAUGAACGUGAACACUAAAGGCAUAAAGGAAGAAGGUUCAAGCUCUAAGAAGUCGGAAGGCUCUCAUGAUCGAGGUAAAACUCCACUUUAGGCGAUUUGGAGAUAUGGAGCGAGCACGUGUCCAUGCUUUAUUAUACCAAGCGCUUCCGCUAGUUAUAUGCACACUUUUUGGGUCCAUGUCUUCUUAUUUUGUUUAAUCUUGUUAGAAGUCAUACACUUAAAAACUUGUUGUCCUCGUUUUUGGAAAGUUUAAAGUUAAAUGGGUCGUAGAUUGUCGUUAGUUUAAUAGCUUAAAAACAGGGGGCAUGCUCGUUUUACGAACGGGUCACGCCCAAUUUUUGUAAGAAUUUCGUUAUGUAUUAAAUUUGGUAUGUUGAUGUCCUUAAA
This is a long non-coding RNA of Helianthus annuus (common sunflower), 643 nucleotides long. RefSeq lists it as uncharacterized. The transcript has 5 exons. The record is from RefSeq and is a predicted model, not a curated record. Lineage: Eukaryota; Viridiplantae; Streptophyta; Magnoliopsida; Asterales; Asteraceae.